Molecule: ribosomal RNA, 460 nt
Filed under: uncultured bacterium
Lineage: Bacteria
Description: partial 16S ribosomal RNA
Rfam family: Bacterial small subunit ribosomal RNA
Source: RNAcentral
CCUACGGGUGGCAGCAGUGAGGAAUAUUGGUCAAUGGGCGCGAGCCUGAACCAGCCAAGUAGCGUGAAGGAUGAAUGCCCUACGGGUUGUAAACUUCUUUUAUAAAGGACUAAAGUGAGGCACGUGUGCCUUUUUGUAUGUACUUUAUGAAUAAGGAUCGUCUAACUCCGUGCCAGCAGCCGCGGUAAUACGGAGGAUCCGAGCGUUUUCCGGAUUUAUUGGGUUUAAAGGGAGCGUAGAUGGGAUGUUAAGUCAGUUGUGAAAGUUUGCGGCUAAACCGUAAAAUUGCAAUUGAUACUGGAAGUCGUGAGUACAGUGGAGGUAGGCGGAAUUCGUGGUGUAGCGGUGAAAUGCUUAGAUAUCACGAAGAACUCCGAUGGCGAAGGCAGCUUACUAAACUGCCACUGACAUUGAUGCUCGAAAGUGUGGGUAUCAAACAGGAUUAGAUACCCGAGUAGUC